This is an RNA transcript of Dromaius novaehollandiae (emu), 7109 nucleotides long. It is a transcript of the gene named PEAK1 related, kinase-activating pseudokinase 1, with no coding region annotated. The transcript is spliced from 7 exons. The record is from RefSeq and is a predicted model, not a curated record. NCBI's taxonomy places the organism in Eukaryota, Metazoa, Chordata, Aves, Casuariiformes, Dromaiidae.
GGGCGGGCCGGGGCGGGGCGGGGCGGCCGCUCGCCCCCAGCCCGCGCGGGGCCCCGCUCGCCACUCGCCCGGCGGCGGCGGCGGGAGGCGCCGGGACGGCAGCGGAGGCCGGUAACGAGGUGAUCUGUAAGACCAGCUCUGGGGAGCGAACGCAAAAUGAGCAGCAGCGGACAGUGCAGAAGAGGCAGAGGGCUCUCAGUCUGAGCCGAGAGGAUUUGAAGAUGUCUGCCUGCAGUGAAUUUGUGGAACACGUCUGGAAGCCCGGCUCCUGCAAAAACUGCUUCAACCCCAAGAGUUCCCAUCGGCUGCAAACGCCCCCUGACGCGGGUGCUUGCAGCGUGCUGCCGAAUGGAGUCAGGGCCAAGCCUGAGAGCCCAGUGUUGGAAGACGAAGGUGUAAAUACCUCCUCUUUCUCGAAGCCAACAAUCGCCGUGAAGCCGACUAUGAUAAACUCGGAUGUUUCUGACUCGUGGGCGGAUAUGAAUAUGAAUUCAGGUCUGUCGCAGGUCAGCUGGGUUUCUGGCAAACACCUCCUUCUGAAACCAGGAGAUGCACAGAGGAUCUGCCUCAACAGUUUUGGCGGUGGUGGCGUGCGGAAGCCCUUCGCGCACAGCCCACCGAAUGACUGCUCAUCCUGCUGCCCUCCGAGCUACUCCAUGGUGGGCCUGCGCAGCCUGGAAAGCCGGGUGGAGAGAAACGUCUCCAUCCACAGCCUGGUGUUUGUAGGGGAGGUGAGCGGGCAGGAGGACAGAGCCAAAGACAAGCUCACCCUGCCGCAUCGGGGCUUCUGCCCUCAUCUGUCUGCCUUGGGAGAGAGAGGCACUACGGACUCCAGCAGGAGCCCUGCUUUCCAGGCAAGAGACAGAGCAGGGCUCCCCUUGGAGGGCAGUUACAGUCAUCCCUCUCUUGGCUUCGAAAGUGAAGGGGGCGAGUACUGUUCAAUCGCGGACUGUUGCCGAGAGCACCCCAUCUCCCAGGAGCCACCCUGCUUGGAGGGCAAGGGCUCCUGGGCUGAGAAGGAGGGCUCAGCUUCUUGGGCCUGGAGGCACCAGGAUGCGCCCGAUAUUCCCACGCCGAGCGGCAGGGCAGUGAAGUUCAGUGAAGAGGAGCGCAGAGCUGUGAACGUGGCCUUCUGCAUCCCGAAAGACCAAGGUGACCCUCUCCCCUACGCCUUGUGUUCGGAGAGGAAAAAGCUGGCCCUCCGCUCGGAGGCUGCCGCGCUACCUGGCAGUGGUCCCUUUGCUUUACCCCAGGAGAAUGACUGCUCUCCUCUCCUUGGAGACCUGGAUCUCCCCGGAGGCCCCCAGCCCGAGGGCUUGAGCACUUCUCAGCAGGCGUUGGUGGAGCUGCAGCGCUCCCCGCUCGCUGAGCCAGCCCGUGGUGAUCCCAUCUAUGCGGAGAGCACCAAGAGGAAGAAAGCUCAGCUGAAGAGCAUCGGUGGACACGCAAAGCCGGACAAUCUGGCCCGCAGCCCCGGCAAGGAGCAAGCUGAUGGUACAUGGAGGGACAGUGGCUGGACUUUGAGCGCCGAGAAGGAGUACCAAGACUCCACCGCCCAGGUAGCAGCAAAGAUAACUAUUAUGACCGCACACACGGAGGAUGAUCAUAAGACUAUAUUCCUCAGCAGCCCUGACUCAGCCGUGGGAGUGCAGUGGCCGUGUGUUAGUCCCACUUCCCACCCCGACUUUGGGAGCUCAUCACCUGCCGUUGAGCCUGCAGAGAUCUUUCAAGCGUCUGGAAGUGAAAACGGCCCGCGAUUUCACCUGGUGGCUCCUGCCAAGACCUCAGUUGCUGAGAGUCCGGCCAUUCCCCCAAAGAUGUCCAAAAACAGCCAGCCAGGUAGUGAGGGGACUCACGUGCCCCCGGUCAGCUCCUCGUCGGCAAGGUUUGGUGACGACAAUAGCCGUGAUGCAACCAGUGCUCAGCUGCAGCCGAGGAGCUGUACAGAUACAGGUGCCUUCGGAGUGUCCCCCUCUCCGUGUGCUCGUGUUAGCGGGGUCCCUGCAGAGGAGGCUGGCAGAGGCAUGACAGGCUCGUCCUGCGACAGGAGGCAGAAAUACUACACCCUGGCAUGGAGCAAGCAGUGCCGGAUAGAGGAAGAGGAGGAGGAGCAGGGGCUCGCCACCCCCCCGCGGGCGGGGGGAGUGGAGAACAGAAGAGCUGGUACCCACCUUGCGGAUGACUGCUCAAUGCCGGAGAGCCAGGCUGGGAUCAGCAAAUCGUCAUCUUUCUCCUUUGAUUUUCCUAAAGACAGGAGCAACAGCGUGGAAUUUGCACCGCCGCCACCACCACCACCACCAAAAAAGCAGUCCAGGCAUGCUCUGAAAAUGGACCCGAGUAAUGCUGAGUUGGAGAGGGUCAGCAACAGCUCUGCCGAGAGCCUCAGCCCACCUUUCAGGAGCGUCCAUGUCAGCUUCAUGGCUGGCUCCUCCGACAGCCUCGACUCAGACACGCAAACCGGCAGCGAUGGUGGGCAUUCGUCGGAGCCAAAUCACUCCCCGCCAGCAGCCGAGAGCCAAGCGUUUCCCCCCAUCCCUUUUGCUGCUGACUCCUGUGAGGACGGUCCCCCCUCUGUCCCCAGCCACCCGCCUCCUCUGCCCCAGAAGAAGACGGUGAGCAGAACUGUGUCCUCCCCGGAUGGCUUCUUCUGGGGACCGGCCUCUUUGGGCAGAGCGGCCAGCGCCACUAGCCCCAGGCUGAACAUCAGCCACUCCGAGAGCAACGUCUGCCUCCGUGAGGAGUCUCCCUUUGGCUACCCGGCGUGCCUGGGGGGCCCCCCUGGUGCCUUCUCCUCCUGCGAAUCAUUGGAGAAAGGCUCGAAAGGAAAUGGCUCCUGGGGCUCAGCUGCUAGCAAAAGCACGGGGACCUGCAUCCCCAGCAGAAACCACCAGGCCCUUUCCUCCUCGCAGCUCAGCGUGUCCAGCCAGGUGUCUUCGGGCUCCAGCCUCCAGCUCCACAACCUCCUCAGCAAUAUUGACAGCAAGGAAGGGGUGUACGCCAAGCUGGGAGCUCUCUACGCCGAGUCCGUGCGCCGCCUGGUUGCCAAGUGCGAGGACUGCUUCAUGCGGGAGCAGAAGAACGAGCUGCACUUCAACGAGAACAACUGGUCGCUCUUCAAGCUGACGUGCAACAAGCCCUGCUGUGAUUCAGGGGACGCCAUAUAUUACUGUGCCACCUGCUCCAAGGACCCCUCCACCACCUAUGCCGUGAAGAUUUGUAAAACUCAAGAGUCGAAGGUGGCUGCUUCGUACUGCAGCCCCAUGGUGCCCGUCCACUUCAACAUCCAGCAGGACUGUGGGCAUUUUGUAGCCUCUGUCCCCUCCAGCAUGCUGCUGGCCUCGGAUGGGGGGAACAGUGUUCCUGUGGAUGGCCUCCGUCCCUCCCGGCCUGCCAGUGAGCAUGACUGCGUGGUGGUCAUCACCCGGGAGGUGCCGAGCCAGACCACUGCCGACUUCGUGAGGGACUCGGUGGCGUUGCACCAAGCCAAGCCUGAGUUGUAUGAACGCCGUGUUUGCUUCUUGCUCCUCCAGCUCUGCAAUGGCCUGGAGCAUCUCAAAGAGCAUGGCAUCAUCCAUCGCGACCUGUGCCUGGAGAAUCUCCUACUUGUCCCGUGCAAGCCCCCCAUGAGCUGUGUGAAAGCCAAAGAUGACAAACGCUUACCCCGCCUCAUCAUCAGCAAUUUUUUGAAAGCCAAGCAGAAGUCAGGAGCUGGAGACUCCAAACUGAAGAAGAGCCAGGCCCGGCUGGCUCCGGAGAUUGUGUCGGCUUCUCAGUACAAGAAGUUUGAUGAGUUUCAGACUGGCAUUCUCAUUUACGAGCUGCUGCACCAGCCCAACCCUUUCGAGGAGAAGGUGCACCUCAGAGAGCAGGAGUACAGCCCCGAGGAUCUGCCUGCUCUGCCCAGCCUGUCCAUCUACUCCCGGGGGCUCCAGCAGUUGGCCCACCUGCUGCUGGAAGCGGAUCCCAUCAAGCGCUUGAGGAUCACCGAGGCCAAGCGGAUGCUGCAGUGCCUACUCUGGGGGCCCCGGAAGGACCUCACUGAGCAGCCCCUCAACCACGAGGAAGCCCUCCGCCAGGCACUGCAGAACUGGGUUGACAUGAAGCGUGCCCUGCUGAUGAUGAAGUUUGCUGAGAGGGCCGUGGAUGCGGAGCGGAGCGUUGAACUGGAGGACUGGCUGUGCUGCCAGUAUUUAGCAUCCACCGAGCCCACCUCUCUCUUGCACACACUAAAACUGCUGCAGCUGCUCUGACCUUGGACGUGUCUCAGAGGCGGCCAAGGGUUCCUGGUUUCCUCACGGCUAAAGGUCCGCGCAAAGACAGCCACGCGGUUGGUGGUCUCCAGCAUCCACAGGUCGCUGCCUGAAAGAUCGCCCUGGCCUGCCUCCGGCCCGAAGCCUGCUGCCUCGAGGAGGGCCUCAUCCAGCAUCCAGUGUGAAUAGUAGGCCAGCUUGAAGAGCAAGGCUUGUGUCCACAUGCUAUGCACACAACUCAGACCAGCGCAGCCCUGCAUGGUGGCCAACUGACCCUCCAGUCCUGCGCGCAGCACCUGCAGAGCCAGUGCACAGAGGCAUCUCCGGCCAGCAGCCCCCAGCGGGCAGUGGGAAGUGCCCGAGAACUCGAUCUGGGCCUGAAACCUCCUAAAGGAGCACAGGGGACCUCCUAGGAGGGCUGGGAAAAAAAGCAAGUAGCUACAGAGAGGCAGUGCUCGCUGCAAAAGCCCCUGGCUGGGCUGGAGUGUCACGGUCCCUUCAUGAACAUCCAGGGCCAGAGAUGUAACUUUCUGGGUCAGCAGCAUGAUGGCAGAGAGGAUGACAGCUGACCUACAAGGAAAGUACCCAGGAGCUGCUGUGAGUCUUUUGAAGGGAGCAUUAGAGGCACAGCAGCAAGGUUGUGCAUGGAAGACGUGCUUCCCACAUCCCAGCGUGCACAGAUGGUGUGGUGAGGGGAGGCCAGCUGCUGGGGAACAGCAAGCUCACUUGGCUCAGGAGCUCUCUGCCCUCCUGAAAUGCCCUGGAGGGCUCCAAGCUCUCUGAGGGGGAGCAGGAGGGAGGCAGAGCUGGAGGGGUUACCUGAUGUCUUGUGGGUCCAGCUCCUGGCUCCUCAGGCCCAGAUGGCAGAGCGUCUGCCAGGACAUCUGGAGGCUGAAGACCCAGGUGUGGACACGUGCUGGGCUGACGGAGAGUAGGACGAGCACGGAGCCGGCUGUGGGGAUGAAGAGCAGCAAGGCAUAGCUGCCCAUGGCUGUGCUGGCAAGGAGGCAUCCUCCAGCAAGCAGGGAGACAUACCUGGAAGGGAAGGGAUGCCUUUUGGCUGGCUGUUAGGAGAAAAGAGACUUGAAACUCCUGCUCCGGUAUUGAUGGUGGGGCUUCACCCGGGUCCAAGAGCCUCCCUGGUACCCCUGUAGUUCGUCCCUUAGCAUCCCAUGGGGCCGUUGUGGCUGCAAGUGGCAAUGGGGGGGACCAGGACCCGUGUUGCUGGCGCUGCUCCCUGUCUUAGCCAUGCCCGAAGCAGUCCCCAUUCUCUGCCUUGCUCUGUUGCCCAUGUGCCCUCCUGAUACACUGCUAAACCCCUCUCUGAUAACACAGGAGUGUCAGACAAGGCUGUUUUGGCCUUAACGACCCCAAACUGGCCCCACCAUAGAGAGGGAAUGAGGAACAGCUCACAUCUGAGACAUUACAAAUGCCUGUACCCGUGUCAGUCAGGACUCGAUAUCCGUCCUGCUGCACCUCUGGCUGGGAGAGCUCAGCUCAGCUGCAGGGGCAAUGACCACAUACCGGGCAGUUGGAGAGAGGUGCCCCGAAGCACUGAGGUGGUGGAGGAGAGCAGCGAAGGGGAAAGCUGCCAGCUGGUAUGAGGCCAUGGGGCAAAGGACAAGCAGGUUUGCCCAGUGCAUCGAGCCACUUGCUUCUUUGAUGUCCUCUGAUGCCUGGAGAAAGGAUGAGCCACGAGCUGCUCUGGCUUCUCUUUAUAUGUGGCAGGACCAUACCACAAACUGCAAAAAAAAAAAAAAAAAAAAAAGAGAGCAGGGCCAAAGAAACAGAGGUAUCUGCAGGAAGUGGAGCACAGUGUUUGCAUUCGUCAGUGCUGACUCCUUGAAGCACCUCUGCCCCAAGGUUUGUGUGCAGGUGGAAAAAAUUCAGGCUUGGUGUUUGCUCUGCCAGGUGCUUGAGCCCUUGCCCUGGAGUGAGAGUGAGCUACCAAGAUAAGAUCCUCUUUGGGUUGCCACGUGCAUCAGGCUGGGAUGUAUUUCAGAGCAAAUCCCCAGUCACAUCCAGGGAUUUAUCAGGCUUGGUCCUUCCUCUCAGCUCAGACUGUCAGCCUUUUCUCCCAGCUCUUGCCCCACUUGUCAUGGGGUGGCAGUGGAGACCUCCUGGUAUUUACACCCCUGCUCACAGAGAGGAGAAGACAGGCCCUGCUGCUCCGCAAUGGGGCCCCAGUACUCAGACCAGGCCACAGAGCCUUUUCAUUUACCAAAAAUAGUUCUAUUCUUCCCAAACAGUUUUUCUUCAAGAAAAUAAAGAAACACAAAAAAAUGGAAUCACCGAGCUGUGUGUCACGGUAGAAAUUAGUUGUUGCUGAUAAACUCUUUAAACCACACAUUCAUUCAAAAAUACGCAGUCUGGAAAGGCAAAAGCUCUUCUUUGUGACCAGAUGUAAAAAGUGAUUUGAAGACUGAUCUCUGGAGUGAGUUACUAUUGCUCCCCUAUUGUCAGCCAUAGUAUUUCAUGCUAAACAGGCCGAAAGCCCAAGAAAAUCAGCCUGCAAGACUUCACUCUUUCUUUUUUUCGUGAGAUGUAGUUAGAAAAACCCCAAAAUUCAAAAGAAAUGGAAACAUGGCUUUUUUUUUUAAACUUGAUUGAUAUCUGCUUUAUUUUAGGCAUACAAAAAGGUAAGUUCAGUGUCAUUGCAAAGAAAAAUACUAUGAAAUUUCCUCCUGGAGGAAAAAAUAACAUGCUGGAGGGGUAGGAUAAAUAAGGUUUUCCCCUUCCUGACAUGAAUGCUUCAAAAUAUUUAGUCUUUUGAUCUGAUAUUUCUGACAUUUCUGUCUGACAUUUCUGAACAUUUCUACUCUUUAACAGUUUAUUAAAACCAGUAAGUUUUUCACAAGA